GUAUGAAUGGAUAAACGAAAAUCAAGCUGUCUCUAUAAAUUUCAUAAAAAUUAUCCCUCAAGUGAAGAGACUUGAAUCAAAAUAAAAGACAAGAAGACCCUGUAGAGCCUAAGCAAAAUUAGAAGCAAAGAACAUAAUAAAACCCUUUCCCUUUAAUCUAGCUCCAGUUGGGGCGACUCGGGAGCACCAAAACCCUCCUUUUCCUUCUAGGCCCUUCAGCCAAAUCAACUGAUCCAUUACCAAAUGAUUAAAAAACCAGGCUACCUCAGGGAUAACAGUCUAAUCUUCCUUAAGAGUCCAUAUUGACAGGAAGGAUUGGCACCUCGAUGU
RNAcentral lists this ribosomal RNA (330 nucleotides) under Aricidea claudiae. Its description in RNAcentral is "partial large subunit ribosomal RNA". It matches the Rfam family "Bacterial large subunit ribosomal RNA", at positions 1990 to 2532 of the family's 2925-position model. The record is from RNAcentral. Lineage: Eukaryota; Metazoa; Annelida; Polychaeta; Paraonidae.